This is a long non-coding RNA of Astatotilapia calliptera (eastern happy), 2575 nucleotides long. Lineage: Eukaryota; Metazoa; Chordata; Actinopteri; Cichliformes; Cichlidae. The record is from Ensembl.
CUUUAUUCUCUGGACUCUGCGACACAGGGAUGCAGUACAGGGAAGGAGCUGCUGAAGAUUUACACUUUUCUUAGGGACAACUGAAGGAAUUUUCCUAUGGACUAUGGCUCUUGGACCAACCUGCUGAGACUAUUUAGACACCUUAAAGUCUCCUGUUCUUUGUGUCAUGAGGAUCAGUGGCAUUUCAUUUGUCAACGGUUAAUUUUAAAAUGUGAAGAAUUUUAAACAUAAGAGUACUUCAUGGACUUGGAUCCUGGGAUGUAAGACCUCAUACAAAGCCAGCUUUUUGAACUGACCUUUGAAAAGCAUUAAAAACUAAAAGAGUGCUGAGUGACUUUCAAAACUCGCGUAAACCGAUUUCCCUCCUUUCAUCACCUGUGGAGUGUGUGGAGGUGUUUACACAUAACAGCAAGCUGGUAAUACAGUGCUGUGGCCAUGGGUAUGAUGACAUUUCUCCAGGCUUGAUGUUCUACCGUUUACUAAACAGCUUUGACAGGACAUAACUGUUUUAGUAAAUACAGAAGGCGCGUGUGGUGUGUCCUUGUGUGUGUUUUGGGUUGCUUUGGUACCACAGCAGUUAGCUUUCUGUUCAGGUAGCAGUUAUUCAAGGUGAACUGGUGCAUCUGCUCACUUUGGAGGAAUAAACAUGAGCUCAUUCCUGCCAGACCUUAUUCUCUAUACAGUGAGGUGUGAUUUUUCCCCCACCCCUCACACAUUUAUAAUCAGGAGAGUUCAGACAGGAAAGAUCUCUCAUGCACAUCAGCUCUGGUACAAUCGUUCUCUGUCUCAGUUUAUAAUAUAAACACUACACACGGGCCAUGCGUUCCGUUAGUUUGACAGGUGUGUGGAAGACAGCCACGAGCCAGGCGGCAGGUGGAGAUGAGGAUUUAUAGAUUUUAAUCGCAUCACUCUAUUGAGCAAUAUUUCCACUGCCUAAGGCAAAGAAGGUUCACAGCUCUGUAUGAUUAAUGGAUGCUCUACUGGGUAUCCCUGAGACACAGAAAAGCUACUGUGCCUCACAAUAGAUGCAGAUUAGUUGUCAAUACAAGUGCUUAUUGGCUUAAUUUUUCACUUUCACUAUCAUUUUUAUAAGGUAAAGACAGAGAUUCAAGCACCUCUUAAAAGUUUUUAUAUCAGUAGACACGCAGUUUUGGACUCAGCAACAGAUAAAGACAGGUGAGAAGAACUGCCAGGAGGGAAAUAAAGCAUAAUUGGAUGUUAUAUCACGUAAGACGAAUGCAUGAUCUGUCCACAUAAAGACAAUGUUCAGUCUAAAUCAAUAAACAGAGUAACAGGCAGGGGAAGUUCCAAGAUACUGAAACAUAUUGUGUUAUGAGUUUCAUUAAAAGAAAAUUGACUUUGGUUUCAGAGAAGUCUGUAAGUGAAAUCCCUCAGGUUUUACCGUUUAUUAUUUGAAAGGCUCCACCUGGAAUUCCAGAUUACACGAUUUCCAGCCUUGAUGUGAUAAACAGUUAAGAAUUUGCAUCGAUUUUGUACUGUCUGCCUAAAAUGACAGUUUCCUUUGGAGUCUCCGAAACAAAAGUCCUAUAAUGUUUCUGUUGGCAAAAGUACUCAGGCUUAAUCGACUAGGCAAAAAGGACUUUUACCUGCCAGUACAAAGUCUGCACACGAUAUGGAGUUGGGGGGGGGGGGGGGGGGGGGGGGGGGAAUAAACUAAUUGGCUGCAUGAACCUUUCAAUGUGCCAAAGGAUUUAGAGAUAGAAGUGUGACAUGUUGGAACGCAUAUGCAGCAAUACUGACUAUACGUUCCUCCUCUUACCUUUAUCUCUGACUUCCGUCUCUUUGUCUUUUUCUGAAUCUUCAUAUACUUGGAAAUCAUAUUGCCUCCGAGAAGACUAAUUCCCUGAAUGAGUUGAAGAGUUUAGGUUUGGCAUAAGGGUGGCUAUUUUUCAAACAGUUAAAUCAGAUAUCCUAGCAAGUCUGACACAAGUAAUAAAACAAGACUUUAUGGCCCAUCUGAACGCAACUUCUUUAAAAUCAGUUAUGCAAAUUUUGACAGGUUGACCUCGUACACUUUGUCAUUUGUGCCAAGAUGUUAAAUUCCACCUGAUCUGUUUCUGAAAGUGUGUCUUUUCCAUGUCUUUUCCAUCUUCUUCUUCUUGUUCUUCUUGUUUUUGUGUUUAGCGUAAAUGAGUGUCAUGCUGCCUUUAUUUCAGGGUAAAUAAAGGCCCGAGGGUGACAUUGAUCAAAGAGUUUAGAUCGUUUUAAAUACCAAAAAUCAACAAAAGAACAAAUUAAAACAACCAAGACGAUAGGCAUUGCUUUUAAUGUUUUUUUAUUAUUAUUAUUGUUAGAUGGAUUUUUCAAAUUUUCACAAAUCUAGUAUACAUGUAUACUUUAAUAAAUUCCAAGUGCUUAAAUACAAAAUGUAAGCUAUCUUGUUAUAUGGCUGUGCUGGUAAGAAAUACUUUGUCAAGAUAUAUAAAUCCAAUUUCUUGGAUAGAUCUGACUUUACAAAGUUACAUUAAAGUUGCAAAUUCAGUUUACACAAGUUUUGUAAUAAGUACUAUUUCUUUAUUAGAUGUUAUAUUUUUUUCUCCAAAAUGUAUACAAC